This 460-nucleotide ribosomal RNA is filed under the name uncultured bacterium. RNAcentral describes it as "partial 16S ribosomal RNA". It matches the Rfam family "Bacterial small subunit ribosomal RNA", at positions 338 to 795 of the family's 1533-position model. The record is from RNAcentral.
CCUACGGGUGGCAGCAGUGAGGAAUAUUGGUCAAUGGACGAGAGUCUGAACCAGCCAAGUAGCGUGAAGGAUGACUGCCCUAUGGAUUGUAAACUUCUUUUAUAUGGGAAUAAAACGUUCCACGUGUGGUAUGUUGUAUGUACCAUAUGAAUAAGGAUCGGCUAACUCCGUGCCAGCAGCCGCGGUAAUACGGGGGAUCCGAGCGUUAUCCGGAUUUAUUGGGUUUAAAGGGAGCGUAGGUGGAUUGUUAAGUCAGUUGUGAAAGUUUGCGGCUCAACCGUAAAAUUGCAGUUGAAACUGGCAGUCUUGAGUACAGUAGAGGUGGGCGGAAUUCGUGGUGUAGCGGUGAAAUGCUUAGAUAUCACGAAGAACUCCGAUUGCGAAGGCAGUUCACUGGACUGCAACUGACAUUGAGGCUCGAAAGUGUGGGUAGCAAACAGGAUUAGAUACCCUAGUAGUC